This 253-nucleotide ribosomal RNA is filed under the name uncultured bacterium. Its description in RNAcentral is "partial 16S ribosomal RNA". It matches the Rfam family "Bacterial small subunit ribosomal RNA", at positions 524 to 776 of the family's 1533-position model. The record is from RNAcentral.
UACGUAGGUGGCAAGCGUUGUCCGGAUUUACUGGGCGUAAAGAGCGCGCAGGCGGUCGUUCAAGUCGCGUGUGAAAGCCCCCGGCUCAACUGGGGAGGGUCACGCGAUACUGAUCGACUCGAAGGCAGGAGAGGGUAGUGGAAUUCCCGGUGUAGUGGUGAAAUGCGUAGAUAUCGGAAGGAACAUCAGUGGCGAAAGCGGCUUCCUGGACCAGUACCGACGUUCAGGCACGAAAGCGUGGGGAGCAAACAGG